RNAcentral lists this ribosomal RNA (2431 nucleotides) under human metagenome. RNAcentral describes it as "bacterial LSU rRNA". It matches the Rfam family "Bacterial large subunit ribosomal RNA", at positions 510 to 2826 of the family's 2925-position model. The record is from RNAcentral.
AAUGGUGAAAAGUACCCCGGGAGGGGAGUGAAAUAGUACCUGAAACCGUGUGCUUACAAGCCGUUGGAGCCUUUUGGGGUGACAGCGUGCCUUUUGAAGAAUGAGCCUGCGAGUUAGUGUUAUGUCGCGAGGUUAACCCGUGUGGGGUAUCCGUAGCGAAAGCGAGUCUGAAUAGGGCGUUUGAGUGGCAUGACCUAGACCCGAAGCGGAGUGAUCUAUCCAUGGCCAGGUUGAAGCGACGGUAAGACGUCGUGGAGGACCGAACCCACUUCAGUUGAAAAUGGAGGGGAUGAGCUGUGGAUAGGGGUGAAAGGCCAAUCAAACUCUGUGAUAGCUGGUUCUCCCCGAAAUGCAUUUAGGUGCAGCGUUACGUGUUUCUUGCCGGAGGUAGAGCUACUGGAUGGCCGAUGGGCCUUCACGGGUUACUGACGUCAGCUAAACUCCGAAUGCCGGUAAGUGAGAGCGUAGCAGUGAGACAGUGGGGGAUAAGCUUCAUUGUCGAGAGGGAAACAGCCCAGACCACCAACUAAGGCCCCUAAGCGUGUGCUAAGUGGGAAAGGAUGUGGAGUUGCUUAGACAACCAGGAGGUUGGCUUAGAAGCAGCCAUCCUUGAAAGAGUGCGUAACAGCUCACUGGUCAAGUGAUUCUGCGCCGAUAAUGUAGCGGGGCUCAAGUACACCGCCGAAGUUGUGGCAAUGACCCUUUGGGGUUGUUGGGUAGGGGAGCGUCGUGUAGCCGGUGAAGCUGCGGUGUAAACCAGUGGUGGAGGCUAUGCGAGUGAGAAUGCAGGCAUGAGUAGCGAAAGAUGAGUGAGAAACUCAUCCGCCGGAUGAUCAAGGGUUCCAGGGUCAAGUUAAUCUGCCCUGGGUUAGUCGGGGCCUAAGGCGAGGCCGACAGGCGUAGUCGAUGGAUAACGGGUUGAUAUUCCCGUACCGGUGAAAAACCGCCCAUACUGAUAUUGUGAUGCUAACCAUGCGAAGCAUGAUGUGCAGGCUUUUGUUUGUGUGUUGUGUGGGUUGUGGGACCCGAUCUUUGGAGGUAAACGUGUUAACAGGUGUGACGCAGGAAGGUAGCCAAGCCACGCGAUGGUUGUCGUGGUCUAAGCGUGUAGGGUUGUCGGUUGUUAAAUGCGCCGGCUGUGUGCCUGAGACGUGAUGGGACCCCGUUUUUGGGGGAUUUGGUGAUCCUAUGCUGCCGAGAAAAGCAUCGGCGUGAGGUUUUAGCCGCCCGUACCCUAAACCGACACAGGUGAUCAGGUAGAGAAUACUAAGGCGAUCGAGAGAAUCAUGGUUAAGGAACUCGGCAAAAUGCCCCCGUAACUUCGGGAGAAGGGGGACCUUGAGCGUGAUGGGCACUUGCUGCCUGGAGCGUGUAUGGGUCGCAGAGACCAGGGGGAAGCGACUGUUUAUCAAAAACACAGGUCCGUGCGAAGUCGUAAGACGAUGUAUACGGACUGACUCCUGCCCGGUGCUGGAAGGUUAAGAGGAUUGGUUAGCUCUUUUGGGCGAAGCUGAGAAUUUAAGCCCCAGUAAACGGCGGUGGUAACUAUAACCAUCCUAAGGUAGCGAAAUUCCUUGUCGGGUAAGUUCCGACCUGCACGAAUGGAGUAACGACUUCCCUACUGUCUCAACCAUGAACUCGGCGAAAUUGCAGUACGAGUAAAGAUGCUCGUUUCGCGCAGCAGGACGGAAAGACCCCGUGACCUUUACUAUAGUUUGGUAUUGGUGUUUGGUUUGGCUUGUGUAGGAUAGGUGGGAGACUGUGAAGCAUGGACGCUAGUUUGUGUGGAGUCGUUGUUGAAAUACCACUCUGGUCAAUCUGGAUGUCUAACUUCGGGCCAUGAUCUGGUUCAGGGACAGUGCCUGAUGGGUAGUUUAACUGGGGCGGUUGCCUCCUAAAGUGUAACGGAGGCGCCCAAAGGUUCCCUCAGCCUGGUUGGCAAUCAGGUGUUGAGUGUAAGUGCACAAGGGAGCUUGACUGUGAGACUGGCAGGUCGAGCAGGGACGAAAGUCGGGACUAGUGAUCCGGCGGUACGUUGUGGAACGGCCGUCGCUCAACGGAUAAAAGGUACCUCGGGGAUAACAGGCUGAUCUUGCCCAAGAGUCCAUAUCGACGGCAUGGUUUGGCACCUCGAUGUCGGCUCGUCGCAUCCUGGGGCUGGAGUCGGUCCCAAGGGUUGGGCUGUUCGCCCAUUAAAGCGGUACGCGAGCUGGGUUCAGAACGUCGUGAGACAGUUCGGUCCCUAUCCGCUGCGCGCGUUGGAAAUUUGAGAAAGGCUGUCCUUAGUACGAGAGGACCGGGACGGACGAACCUCUGGUAUGUCAGUUGUACCGCCAGGUGCAUGGCUGAUUGGCUACGUUCGGGAGGGAUAACCGCUGAAAGCAUCUAAGCGGGAAGCCUGUUUCGAGAUGAGAUUUCCUGGCACCUUUGG